Molecule: ribosomal RNA, 497 nt
Filed under: uncultured bacterium
Lineage: Bacteria
Description: partial 16S ribosomal RNA
Rfam family: Bacterial small subunit ribosomal RNA
Source: RNAcentral
GAUGAACGCUGGCGGCGGGCCUAAUACAUGCAAGUCGAGCGAACAGACGAGGAGCUUGCUCCUCUGACGUUAGCGGCGGACGGGUGAGUAACACGUGGAUAACCUACCUAUAAGACUGGGAUAACUUCGGGAAACCGGAGCUAAUACCGGAUAAUAUAUUGAACCGCAUGGUUCAAUAGUGAAAGACGGUUUUGCUGUCACUUAUAGAUGGAUCCGCGCCGCAUUAGCUAGUUGGUAAGGUAACGGCUUACCAAGGCGACGAUGCGUAGCCGACCUGAGAGGGUGAUCGGCCACACUGGAACUGAGACACGGUCCAGACUCCUACGGGAGGCAGCAGUAGGGAAUCUUCCGCAAAGGGCGAAAGCCUGACGGAGCAACGCCGCGUGAGUGAUGAAGGUCUUCGGAUCGUAAAACUCUGUUAUUAGGGAAGAACAAAUGUGUAAGUAACUAUGCACGUCUUGACGGUACCUAAUCAGAAAGCCACGGCUAACUACGUG